GUGAAUCAUCGAAUCUUUGAACGCACCUUGCGCUCCUGGGCUAUUCCUAGGAGCAUGCCUGUUUGAGUGUCGUGAACUCAUCAACCCUAGUUGGAUUUUGAAUCUGGCUAGUGGCUUGGAAUUGGGGGUUUUGCUGGCCGUUUUGAUUCGGUCUGGCUCCCCUUGAAUAUAUUAGCUUGGACUUGUUCUAAAGGCUUCAUAGCGUGAUAACUAUCUACGCUUUGUAUUGUCUGAAGAAUAUUUAUGGGUCUGGCUUCUAAUCGUCCUUUGGACAAUUUAUUCACUCUUUGACCUCAAAUCAGGUAGGACUACCCGCUGAACUUAAGCAUAUCAAUAAGCGGAGGA
This 345-nucleotide unclassified non-coding RNA is filed under the name Corticiales sp. RNAcentral describes it as "partial contains 5.8S ribosomal RNA, internal transcribed spacer 2, and large subunit ribosomal RNA". The stretch from base 1 to 72 matches the Rfam family "5.8S ribosomal RNA", at positions 84 to 154 of the family's 154-position model. Lineage: Eukaryota; Fungi; Basidiomycota; Agaricomycetes; Corticiales. The record is from RNAcentral.